Molecule: ribosomal RNA, 253 nt
Filed under: uncultured bacterium
Lineage: Bacteria
Description: partial 16S ribosomal RNA
Rfam family: Bacterial small subunit ribosomal RNA
Source: RNAcentral
UACGUAGGUGGCAAGCGUUAUCCGGAUUUAUUGGGUGUAAAGGGCGUGUAGGCGGGAGCGCAAGUCAGAUGUGAAAACUCAGGGCUCAACCCUGAGCCUGCAUUUGAAACUGUGUUUCUUGAGUGCUGGAGAGGCAAUCGGAAUUCCGUGUGUAGCUGUGAAAUGCGUAGAUAUACGGAGGAACACCAGUGGCGAAGGCGGAUUGCUGGACAGUAACUGACGCUGAGGCGCGAAAGCGUGGGGAGCAAACAGG